RNAcentral lists this transfer RNA (22 nucleotides) under Pueraria montana var. lobata (kudzu vine). RNAcentral describes it as "partial tRNA-His". The record is from RNAcentral. RNAcentral also lists the same sequence under 4 other names. Lineage: Eukaryota; Viridiplantae; Streptophyta; Magnoliopsida; Fabales; Fabaceae.
GCGGAUGUAGCCAAGUGGAUCA